ACCUGAAUGACCUAUGUUUAUCUUACUUACCCCUUUAAAGAUUCUAUUUCCAGAUACAGUCACAUUCUGAAAUAUCAGGGAUUAGGACUUGAACAUAUGAAUUUUGGUGCGGAGGGGGGUGGCAUAAUUCAACCUGAAACAGAAGCCAUCAAAUUUUUUCCCUCAUUUGUUUCCCUUGAAUAUUAUUAUUGGAAGGACAGAGAGAGAUUUCCUGAGCCCAGGGAAUUGGAGCACCUGAGGGGAGGUGCUUAUCUCCUGACCUCCACCCCACUAGGCGACCUGGCUGGCCGCAGCUCAGCCCCAGAAGAAGUGGUAUAUUCGCACACUGGAGCCACAGUUAACCAGUUCCCAAACCACAGCUUCAAUAUUUUAAAAUGCAUAAAACAUGAGAUCACAUUUAGCAAUGGCACUGUUUUAUUUGGCAUCACUGGGUAUAUCCGCGUGUCUUCAUCUAAAAUAAUACUGAUGCAGAUGAGAAGCAUUAUUUAUCAUGUCAAAAAUUAGAAACAGCCUCAGUGUCCAACAAUGGGGUUUAAUAGGGUAGAAUUUUAUGCAGCCUUUGGAAACUGCUGUGGAAAAGUAUUUGUUGUGUGAGGAAAUAAUCAUGACAGAUGAAGUGGGGGGAAAAAGCAGGUUGCAAAGAAACAGGUAUAGUUGGAUCCCAAUUUUUUGAAAAAGGUUUAUUACAUGUGCAUAUUUAUAUGUAUAUAUGUGUGUAUAUAUGUGUUCAUCUGGAAGGCUAUACUCCAAAAUAUUUAAAAUUGUUUUCUUGCAGUGAUGGAAUUAUGUGUACUUUAAGUUUUUUUCUUCUGUUUUUCUAAGUGUGUGUCCCAUAUUUUCUAAAAUAAACAUAUUACUUUUGCAAUUCAGGGGAAAAUCUUAAAGAUAAAAAUCUUGAUAACCACUCGGUUUGUAGAAAGUUUCCUCUAACUUAGCCUUUUUCAUAAGGAGCUGCCUCACAGCUUUCCACAUAGGGCUGCAUUUACAAAAAUGUAAUUUACUCACCAUUUUCCAGAUACAGCUCUCAGCCACAAUUACCUGGAUUCUAGAAUAAUUUUUGUGACUGGCCUGAGAACCUCUUCUCUAUUUUUGUUUUUCCACCUGGCACUAUUUUCUCAUUAAAGGACUUUUAGGAGUAAAUGCAGAGAAAGGGUGGAGCCCCAAAGACCUGGAAAAAAAAAAGCCCUUAAAAUAAAUAAAUCAGUGGACUAGUUUAAUGUGUCUAAAAUAUCAUCCAAGGAGACCCAAAAAGAAGCAGGAUGUAACUUCACAGUGACUUUGUUCCUUCUAUUUCUCUUUACUUAUUUGAGAGAUCCUUUAAGCACACUUCCCUUUUAACAGAAUGUGCUUUGGCUAAAUAAUCCUGUGAGGUUAUGCUUUUACAAAGGAGAGGUUCGUGGAGGAUAAUGCUGUCAGGCUUGGAAGCGGCAGUAGAGAUCACGUUGCCCAGCUCUUGGCAUCAUUGGUUCCCAAAGCUCUGAAUCCCCUGGAGAGUUUUGUAAAAGGUCAGCUCUCCACAACAUGACAGAAAUAGAAGGGGCCUGGGGCUGUGGGUUGUGAAAGCUGUGGUUCUUUUGAUGCUCAACCAGGUUGAGGAACCCACUUCCCUAUGGCUCCUGCAUUCCCUCCGCAAUGUCACAAUAGGUGAUUACAUGAACACUUGUAGAGAUGGAAAAUUUUCUACCUCAAGAGCUAGCAUUUUCCAUUCUUGGACUGCUGUGCCUAUUGCAAUUCUUUUUUUUUUCCCAUAUAAUCUGGAUUCCUCCAAUUCAGGGAGCAAAAAAUGGAGACAUUUCGUUAGGGUAACCCAAAUGAAUCCCAAGGCCCCAUGUAGUCCAAUCUCUGCGUAGAGUCACAUCUUCCAAAGCGAAAAUCAUUACAAUGGAAACUUUACCUGCAAUACCCAGAGAAUGUUAUAAGGGACCCAACUGAUAACUCAUGGUAGCAUUUCUCAAAAUCCUUUUCUCUUUCUUUCUUGAUUUUCUGUUAUACCAGAGCUUCUCAUUCGCCACCCGAAACCCAAACAUCUCCAAGAGCAGCCCACUUGCCCUUUCAGGCUCUCUGUCUUUGACCUCUGUGCUCUCCCAGCAAUACAGUAUUUAGGUUGAUUUUGCCUCUCUGAUUGCCUUCAUCCCUCUCUCUGCCUUGCCCGUUACCCAGACUUCUCACAACAAAGGAGAGCCCACGAAAUGUCUCAUAAACAAAAAUCUUUCCUCCUUUCUUCUGUUCUACCUGGGCCUGUUUCUUUUUGCCCAACAUCCUGAUUUUGCAUGUUUUUAAGCCAGAAACUGGGGAAAGGAGAAGCAGAUAUCAAAGACAAAAUUCCCUUUAUUGAAAAUGACAGGAAAGGGUUAAAAUUGGGCACUGUUGCACAUUAAUAAGCCUUGUGUCUCGGCUGGGCGCGGUGGCUCACGCCUGUAAUCCCAGCACUUUGGGAGGCCGAGGUGGGUGAAUCACGGGGUCAGGAGAUCGAGACCACGGUGAAACCCCGUCUCUACUAAAAAUACAAAAAAUUAGCCGGGCGUGGUGGCGGGUGCCUGUAGUCCCAGCUACUCGGAAAGGCUGAGGCAGGAGAAUGGCGUGAACCCGGGAGGCGGAGCUUGCAGUGAGCCGAGAUUUCGCCACUGCACUCCAGCCCGGGCGACAGAGCGAGACUCCAUCUCAAAAAAAAAAAAAAAAAAAAGCCUUGUGUUCAUCACAGUAAUGACUUCCUCAUCUGCCAUUGCAAGACCACAGACCCCUACAUGGUUUACACAUUUGCUCCUCAUUCUUCUUGCCAUCUCCCCACCCCUAACAGGUGUCAUAGGUGUUCCCAAACAAAUCCCAUCGACUACCAACUCAGGUAUGUAUUUUUUUUCCCCAUGCCCUACUCUAGUUCCCUCCCUCUGAUAAUGUCUAUGGCUAAGUUCUUCCCUGAUUACCAUGUUGGGCGAUAUUAAACAGUACUGCUUCAUGCACCAGUGACUUACAGUGAAUUAUGUCAUCACACUUAGAAUUUUAGUCUCUGCAUGAGCUAAACCUGAUGACUUAAUUUCUCUGUGUGUCAGCUUCCUCAUCUGUAAAUGGGCAACCAUAAAAAUCUUACUCAAGGGGUCGUGAGAACUUGAGUAAAGUGCUUAGCACUGCAAAAUGUUGGCUCUCUACAUAUACCAACAUUUCCAUUUUUCUUUUUACCAUUCUUUUUUGAAGGGGACAGGAAGAAGAGAAAGGUGAGUCUGCUAGGAAGUGAAGAGGACCUGGUGAAGACUUAGAGCAGGAGCCAGCAAGCUAUGCUAGACCAAACUGGACCUACUGCCUGCUUUUGUAAAUCAAGCUUUAUUGAAACACUGUCACUCUCCUUCAUCUAUGGCACUUUUGUACUACAAUUGCAGAGUCAGACUCAAACAAUCCAGUGGGACACUCUGAAAUUUAGAGGAAGUGGUCCAAUAGAAUUUUCUGGAAUUAUGGAAAUCUUCUAUUUUGUGCAUCCAGUGUAGCAGAAUCUAGUCACAGGUGGCUUUUGAGAACUGGAAAUAUGGCUAAUGCAACUGAGAAAGUGAAUUUUUACUUUUGACUCAUUUAAAUGUAAAUGAUCACAUAUGACAUCACUGCCAUAUUGGACAUUGCAGUUCUGGAAGAUGGCAGAUGCAGCCCUUAGAAGAAUCAUCGGCCUGAAUGUCUGGGCGGAGCAUAGCACUACCUUCCCACUCGCUCUUCCCCUCCUCUCACCCCCUCCCCUGCCUCACUUGCAUCAGACUGUGAUGUGAGCAAAAGCAUGAAACAGCUCUUUUGAUAGGCCUGUGAGACUUGCUGUUUAUUGGACUAGCUAGGCUGCUCUGACUCAUACACACCCGAAUCGUGGCAACCACUUUUAUGAAGAAAUGACAAUUCAGUCUACUACUUGUCCAUGUUACAUGCCCAAGGAAUGUGAGGGGCCUCUGCUUGGAUCUAGUUUUCAACCUAGUCUGUGGCAUUGAUUAUCCUGUUUAAAAGACAAAAGAGGUGACUUCAUGGGCACUUAACAUCUUGGCCAUACUGACCCCAGCUGCACGCUAUGUAGGAAGUUUUAGUCCAUUUAAACUGAAGUUCCAAUUUUUUUUUUACAACCAUUUAAAAUUGUCCAUGUCCCAUACAUGACAGAGAAAGGGUUGUCUGGUUGGAUGAUUUUUGGCUCACAAAAAAAGAACACAAAAGAAAAGCAUACGUUUUAAUACUCAAGAGACCAAAUUCUCUGCUGAAGAGGAAAUGAACUACAUAUCCAGAAGGGUCCUGCCAAGAGGCCAAACAGGCUGUACUCUCUUGGGGGAGUUCUCAGUGGUGAUGAGAACUUUUUUUUUUUUUUUUAAGUCAUUUCCAAGGUGAGAUACUGACUUGCUGCGGGAGCAGGAAAACUGGUCUUUCAUUGCUAGCAGCAGAGUAAGGGUCUUGCAAGUUUCAGGCAGCAGCAGAGAAAGCAUCUUGCAAGUUUCAGUCCAAAGCAAGAAGAGCUAGGAUUGCACCAGCCAUCUCACCUACUCUGUGCUCACCUGUUUCUGGAUGAACCACGGUGACAUCUGUUUUAUUGUAAAGAGAACCAAUUUUGGAAUCAAAUGGAACCUGUAUUAAAAUCCUGAAUCCGUCA
Symphalangus syndactylus (siamang) is the source of this 4600-nucleotide long non-coding RNA. RefSeq lists it as uncharacterized. Lineage: Eukaryota; Metazoa; Chordata; Mammalia; Primates; Hylobatidae. The record is from RefSeq and is a predicted model, not a curated record.